UUGCCACAUAAAUAUUUAUCGCACACAUCCGGUAGAAAGUUAUCAUUUAUUCAUUUACCCCAGAGACCGAAUUUCCGUUUACGUCGUAUUUAUACAUAUGUAUGAAAUUCAGAAAAAUUUACGACUUGCCAAAAAAGUAAUUGGGUUUCGCAUGAACGACAGCCACACAAAAAGAGGAACCGGGGAAAUAUGGCUCCUAGAAAUUUGAUUAGGCGUAUCAGGGAAAACAACGUAAAGAGUUCCCAAGCACGAGGAACGUGCUUUUCCACCACUCGGGUCUGGCUGAAAUCAAAGUUCAGCCCGGGGCCAAAAGGUUGCUGUCCCAGAAACAAGGCCAUAAAUAGAAACGGAAAAUCAGCCGAAUCCAACCUUCCGCUGUGGUUGAAGCUAAUUUCAGUUCAGUCGGGCAGACCGAAAUACACUAGAAUGCAUUCAUUGAGUUCGAGAAGUUUCGCACUCAAAGGCGUAUGUCUAUCUCUACGAGGAAGAUAAGCGAACAAAACGGCCUCCAAUUAAAGGUUUCGUUCGGGAAAUCUUGUCACUCGGCCACUUUUCGUGUUACAGUUUCUCCUUCCCUGGCCUGCCAGCCCAACUGGCCAAGAAUGCCCAAUGGCCAAGAAGUCCGUCUGUCUAAACUAGUUUGCUGGGUUGAUUGGCUGACUGGAGCUGCCGGUUAACGACUCUUAAAGCCUCCCAGAGAUCGUUGGACACGGCCCACGCGAAGCAAUGCUGGACUUCGGCCUAAUGGCUUGACCCAAAAGAUACGGAUAAGAAAAUCGAAUCCAGUAAAUAUUAAUGACAAUGUCUACGAGAGCACGCAUUUGGGAAUUUAAAUAAAUUAUUGCACAUUUACAGC
Molecule: long non-coding RNA, 856 nt
Organism: Drosophila biarmipes
Lineage: Eukaryota; Metazoa; Arthropoda; Insecta; Diptera; Drosophilidae
Exons: 3
Source: RefSeq, a predicted model, not a curated record